UACGGAGGGGGCUAGCGUUGUUCGGAAUUACUGGGCGUAAAGCGCACGUAGGCGGCUUUGUAAGUUAGAGGUGAAAGCCCGGAGCUCAACUUCGGAAUUGCCUUUAAGACUGCAUCGCUUGAAUCGUGGAGAGGUGAGUGGAAUUCCGAGUGUAGAGGUGAAAUUCGUAGAUAUUCGGAAGAACACCAGUGGCGAAGGCGACUCACUGGACACGUAUUGACGCUGAGGUGCGAAAGCGUGGGGAGCAAACAGG
This 253-nucleotide ribosomal RNA is filed under the name uncultured bacterium. RNAcentral describes it as "partial 16S ribosomal RNA". It matches the Rfam family "Bacterial small subunit ribosomal RNA", at positions 524 to 776 of the family's 1533-position model. The record is from RNAcentral.